GGCAGUCCACGGAAAAUGUAUCCGUUCAGUGAAAAAACUUCGAGCACUGCACUCGACUGCGAGUGUCACGCGGGACGACAUUUUCACAUAUCACAUAGUCCGCAGCGGUUUUCCCGGCAAUGUGUGUGUACCUGCCCGGGCAGAGCGCGACGACCGCACAUAAUGUUCACCCAUCAGUCGGUUUUCGAUGAGCAGGUCGUGGCAUCGCCGCCGGUAUAUGCGUAUAUUUUGGCAACCUUUGAACGGUUUAAACCACGCGGUGUGCAACGCGUUUAAAGGUCAGACUGUAGACAGUGUAGACUGUAUAGACUGUAGACUGAAGACAUUAAUUUACUAGACACCAAGACACCCUAUACAAACUACGGGUAGAACAAACAUAAAGAUAACUAACUAAAAUAAAUCUAAAAAAACUGAAAGUAUAUCAUUAAGAUUGUUAUUAAAUAAAUAUAGGAAACUCCAAAACGUUUUAUUCG
Rhopalosiphum padi (bird cherry-oat aphid) is the source of this 473-nucleotide long non-coding RNA. RefSeq lists it as uncharacterized. The record is from RefSeq and is a predicted model, not a curated record. NCBI's taxonomy places the organism in Eukaryota, Metazoa, Arthropoda, Insecta, Hemiptera, Aphididae. The transcript has 3 exons.